Molecule: long non-coding RNA, 6526 nt
Organism: Haemorhous mexicanus (house finch)
Lineage: Eukaryota; Metazoa; Chordata; Aves; Passeriformes; Fringillidae
Exons: 4
Source: RefSeq, a predicted model, not a curated record
AUAUAUAUUUUAGCAAAUAUAUAACUGAGCAAAAUUUUUUUGUUGAAUAAUUUUCAUUAACAGAAAUUGUGUCUUGUUUUCGUAUACACUUUCUGGAUUAUUACUUGUGCUUAUGAGCAAAGGCUUGAAAAAGUAUUUACAGUAUGGAAAUGUUUCUGGCAUAUGAUUCAAACUCCUAAAUCCUCUUUGUAAAUGAAAUAAUGGGGAUUUUCAUGGUAUCAGGAUAACAUUCCAUCGGUACAAGAUAGCUGGAAGAAACCAAAUUACAUCUAAAGGAGAGAUAAACCACUUUAUUUUUAAACAAAAUUUUUUAACCCUUCAUAAAAAAAAAAAAAAAGAGAGAGCAAUGCAAUUUAAUCCUCGAUGUAUUUUAUGGAAGAGGCUAAUAAAUUAAUUGAUUUCCAUAUUUUCCACUUCAGGAUAAUCCUUAUCUAAUCUUCACCAUUCCUGAGCAAUAUCUCUAUGAGUAUUGGUCAAUCACAAACAGUCUUUCAAGGGUCUUUAGAAUUCCAGAGUCCAUAAUCUCCCAGAAAAUCUAUUUUAGCACUUCACUAUUCUUACCAUUUUAUUACCACUUUCUAAUAUUCUAAUUUUGAACAUUGUUGCAGUCUAAACACAUCAUUUCUUCUUCUCUCUCUUAGGCCACGGAAAAGAAUUUAUUCCUUCUCUCCUACUUGCAACAUUUUAUAUAUUUGAAAAAUUUCUGCUUUUCAGUUUUUUGUUUUUUCCUAGGGUAAAGAAUCAUAAUUCAUUCAUGUUUUUCUUUCUCUCCAGUUAUGUUUUUUAGAAUCCCACUUGUUCAUCGUAUUCCACUGAGCUCCCUUCAAUUUUAAAUCUUUCACAAACUGUGGUGUUCAAAAUUGGAAAAAGAAACCCAGCUGAGGCUUGAACAGAGCAGAGAAGAACAGAAGAAUUGUUUAUAGGUUGUCUGACUAUUUCUAACUUUUAUUAUAGUCUAUGCCUUUUUGCAUCAGAGUGGCACAGUUAAUUCACAUUUAGAUUGUCACCCAACUAAUCCUUUUUCUGUGAAACUGUUGCAUUACCAGGCCAUAUCCUCCGGGCUUCUGAACAGCUUGUUUGCUUGCAGACGGACUCUUUCUAGUUUCCUGACACUCCUUGUGAGCUGUGGAGCCAAAAACUGGACAUGCCACUCCAGGUGCCGCCUUGUCAGUGCUGUGUAGAGUGACACGUUAAGUCCUGGCCUCAUUUCUACUGGUGUGGCCUAAUAUGCACUUUGUCUUAUUCAUGUUGGUGGUGGAGUUCUGCUCAUGUUCAGCUUGAUAAUUACUGCAGCCCCCGGGUCCUUUUGGUCAGGUGCCACUCAGCCAGCUCUGCUUCAUGAGGUCAUUCCACCCCACACACAGAAUUCAAGCCUUCUCCCUCCUGAUCUUCACAAACCUUCUGUUGACCCAGUCUCCACUUUUCUCAAGGUUCCCUGGAGCUGAAUCUGUAUCACAUGGUGUGUCAAACAGUUUUUCAGCAAAUUUUCUGGGGGAACAUUCUGCUCCAUCAUCCAGGAGGAAAUACUGGACUGCUUUCCAGCCCUAGAGUAUUUGUUUCAUUACGAACUGUUACACCUCAAGCCAUUGAAUAUUGCCUUGGGACACAGUGCUGCAGCCACUUUUCAGCCCAGUUAAAAGACUGUUUAUCCCACCACAGUUUCUCAGCCACGAGAAUGUGGGGAAGGCAUUGCCAAAUGCCUCAGUGGAGUAAAAGUUGCAGGAACUUUUACCAUUUACUUUCCCAGUCCGUAGUUUUGUCAUAGAAGGCAACCAUGUUGGCCAGGUAGGAUUUGCCUUUGUAAAUCUGUGCUGGUCUUGGUGGGCUCUUGUCUUUCUGCAUGCUCAUAAAAGGAGUAUAUGCAUCCUCCAUCCAACCAGGGAUUGCACUUGGUGUGUCCAGCUGAUGGUUCCCAGGAUUGUCCUUCUUGCCUUUUUUAAAGGGAUAUCAUAGCUGCACAAACUGGUCAAAGAAAAAGAAGCAGCAUGCAUGGUGAAAGUCUGGCCAUAGUAAAUCUGCAUAACUACAACAAAAAGGGAACUCAUAGGCCUUCUACAGUGUUGAUCAACAUUAGCAAAAUCACCUGAUGGUCAUCUGACUUCCAUUCCAGCCAGGGAGCAAGAAGAGUAAUCCACUUGAAUGGAAAAUUAUUACUGAAGGAUUAUUUUGGGCCCAACCCAAAAGUGCUGCAGGUCUUCUCCCACCAGCUUUUCCCAGACAGAGAUGUGGUACUGCUGCUGUGAUGCUGCUCCCAGAUGCAGAUGCAAAGGCUGAAGGUACUGGGAGGCACAGUGGAGGCCCAGGGAACAUCGAACAUCCCCCUUCCACACAACCCAGUUUGGAUCUGGAAGCAGAAUUGACACAUCUUCAAAGCACUCUGCUACACCAAAAAUAACAGCCCCUCUAUGGUUCUGGAUCCCUUUUUCUGGUUCUCAGCUUUCAGUUCAGGUCUCUCAGCUCUUGGUGUUCAUAGCUAGGAAUGAGAAGGGCCCAUGUGGUGGUGUAGUCCUGCUCUUCUCAGAGCAGUGCAUGCCCUAAGGUCUGCCCUCCUGAGAAGAGCAGGCACUGGUGCUUCAGAGCACAGCACAGAACUCUAAAUGUGUUCCAUGUUCCAAAAAUAUCCUGAAAACCAACUUAAGUUGUACUCUUAGUGAACAUGUUCUUUCAUCUAAAGCCAGAAAAAUUGCUCUGUUUUCUUUAACAAUGCUAAGAUAUCCAGAAAUUAAAGUGUCCAAUACAUUUCAUUUGUUGUAUACGUGUAACAUAUUGCCAGAGACAUUUGACUGUUUUAUUUCUAGAAAAAGUGCCAGCAUGAUUUGAAAGUGGUAAUUCUUCCACAGUUUGGUUAGAAAUAGGCUAAUAGGGGUUUAAACUGGGAAGACAGAAUGAAUGUUAAUUGUUUUCAAAUAACAUAGUUUAAGCAGCACAGUUAGUUUCAAAUAGCACAGAGGUAAUCAUUGAAGUGUGUAAACUAAAUUUUUUUUCAGUUACCAGUUAUUAGAACUCCAGCUUAAAUUAAAAAAAAAAACAAAACCAGAAGAAUUAUGCCAAUUCAUAAUAAGGCAGAUGUACUGAGACUGGCUAAGACUGAGUUAAUUUUCUUCAUAGAUGCUUAUGUGGCACUCCGUUUUAGAUUUGUUACCAAAACAAAACUGACAAUGCACUAAUUUUCCAGCAGUGUUUUCACAGCAUCAAGGCUCUCUGUGGUUCUCAAUGUGCCCCACUCCAAAGAGGAGACUAGGGGAUGCACAACAGGAUAGAAGGGGGGAUAACCUCAGAAACCCAAAGAGAUAUUCCUUGCUGUAUAACAUCAUGCUCAGCAAUAAAAGGAAAAAGAGGGGGUCUUAGGGAGGUUAGUAAUCUUUUGGUUGGGAAAUGGCUGAGCAUUGUUCAGCCUGUGGGAGGUGGUGAGUGAUUGCCUUUGCAACAUUUGGGGUUUUUUGAGUUUUUUGUCUCUUCUUCCACAUAUCCUUCAGUUAUUAAUAUUAUUUUUAUUUUUUAUCUUUUCAUCUUACCCAAUUUUUAUUGCUUUUAUUCUUUCUUUUCCUUAUUCCUCAUCCAACUGAGAGCUGGGGAAGUGAGCAAUCAGCUGUGUGAUGCUUAGCAAACCACCAGGGUAAACCCAGAACAGGAAGUACAGAAAGCCUGUGGCACACCUUCCUUGUUAUUAACUUGUUUCAUGGACCUCUACUAAAUGAGUAUAAAAUGUCCAUGUUCUGCUUUUUAAAUCCAUUACAAGGCAAUGGAGAUCAGUGCUAUUGGUUUCAGUAAAGCUGCUUCUGAUUCAAGCUGUUCUACCUGAGAUGAGAUUAAUGUCUGUUAAGGCUUCAAUUAGCUUUACUCUCAUUGUACUCCUCUGUGAAAAAUAUUUCACAACAGAAAACAAAUGUGAUUGGGUAUUAUUCAUGAUUCAUAGAACAACACCUGCUGUUCCAAGUUGGGACUGAAAAACACUAGGAGAUGUGUUAGCACAAUGUGAGACAAAUGCUGAAAAGGUGUAAGUGGCAGCAGCACCAUUGUUUUCCAUGUGGUACAUGCAUUUCAGCCUUUUUUAUGUGUAUUUAGACUGGGAUUUAGCAGAGUUAUUAUAAAAUUUUUAAUAAGAAAUAUAAACAUGAGGCAGCUGGAGUGCAUUCUGCUCUUCUUGAUUUUGUUGUUGUGGCUGAUAUUUCUCAUACAAUAAACAAGCUCUGUUAGAAGUAUCCUCUUCUUAAAAUUUUAAUAGUAUUUAAUCCAUAAAUACUUCUCUAAAUACCUCUGUUUUACUAGUCAUAAUGAAAUACAUUCACUGCAAGAGUCAUAAAGCAGAUGAGGCAGUGAAAAUGCUUAGUGAGUGUUAGAGCUAACAAUCAUAAUGAUGCUGGAGCAGUUGGAGCACAGCACACAAAGACACAGCAAGAUGCUACCAUAAGCUCCAUGCACUCCACGCAGAAGCAGUGGUAAUAGAAGAUUGUAUAACAGGAAUUACAGGCUGCACUGGAAUUAGUGUCUACCUCUGGGAUUGGUUUGUGUUAGCAGAGCCAAAAAUGACAUAAAUGUUCAUUUGAUGUUCAGAAUACUUCCUCUUUUUCAGCAUUCCUUUUCUUUCCUGAUGCUUUACAGUGCUUAGACUGAAGAUUUUUGGUUUAUCAUCACUUUUUUCUCUUUAGCUUCAGUUUGAGGAAGAAAGAAGGUUCAUCUUUUCUAUCACAUUUGGAGGUGCAAUACUCAGUAGACCAGCAGUGUUAUGCUGUGUCAGGUCUUAGUACAUCACCCAGUGCUGCAGAGCUGUGAUGCUGACUCAUCUGGCUGUGAGGUGUUUGGUGCUUGUACAGAGAGGCUCAGGAAAUAAAUGAACUGAAGUUUCUGAGUUUAUGGGAACUGAAAAGUCAAAAUAACCUAAAUGGAAUAAACUCUUGGCAUGAAAGGAAAUAAAACUGUCAUUCAAAGCUGCAUACAUUUAAUUCAUAGUUGGUCAUUUUGGAUGAUUAUGUAUAUAUUGCAUGCAUUUGUGUGUAUUUAUGUGCACAUGUCUUAGGAGCCCAGUGUAAUUGCCACCAAUUUGGGACACAUUUUAGCCUGGAAUAGCUCCAGAAGAACUUACUAGCUAAGCCUUGCUGGAAUUUAUGGAUAAGAGCAACAUUAAGAAAAUUAGCAGCAAGACCAGUUAUUCUGCAAGAGGGAAGAUGGUAAAAAGAAUUAAAUAGACUAAAUCAGAAACCCAAUAACUUCACUAAAACAUAGAGCUACAAAGGAAGUCUUCACUGUGAAUUAGAUACCUACCCAGUCCCCCGUGAGUAUCUUCCAAAAUCAUCAUACCUGCCUUGUUCCCCAAGUAUCUGUAUUUACUUUAAGCUCAGAUGUCUGUGCAUCCACUGUGAAGUCUUUCUAUACAACCUAGAAAUUAAUUCUAGAUUUGAUCAUACAUAAUUAAGUAAUGGUGACCUAUACUUCAGAAGAUUAUCAAUGCUGAUAUUGUCAUAAAUAACUAAUAACCUGACAAAUAAUACAGUAUAAACUUAAUUAGUGCACAGCACUAUAUGCCUCAGGAAGAGUGUUUCAAAGACCCUGUUUUCCUAACCCUGAUUGAUGAUUCCUUUUGAGCUUAAUAAAUGCUCAAAGCUGGGAUCAAAAAUUGUAUCUUUGCUAAUGUCUUGAAUUUAUUGAAUUAUUGUGCAGAGUAUUGUAAUUACUCUAAAGGAAUUAUUGGCUAUGGGUUUGCUGAUUUCUGAGUGGGUUUUUUGGGGGUUUCUUUCAUCUCAAUGACAUUUUUCAUCCAUGCCAGAUGACAAAAUUGUUUUGAGAAAUGAACUAAUCAAUUAAAGUGCUUCAUAUAACAGAUAUUCAAACAAAUCGGGGGAUUCUGGCAAUGGAGACAAUAUACAUGCUCAGAAGGGAUCUGUAAAUAAAGGGGAAGUAAACGUGAGGCAUGCAGGGAAAUUCAAAUCUAGGUAAUAACACAAAAUAAAGUAAAGCAUCAAAACACACUCAGACAAGUAAAACUUAACCAGAGAAUACCUUGUUUUCUAGAUUGCAGUGGUGAUACUUUUUAUUUUCCUGUUUUCCAGACUUCCAGUGUCAGAAGUGACUAUAUUUAAUGCAAGUUUUUGUUCUAGUCAUUUAAAAUAUGUAAAACUAUGAGGUUUCAUUUUGAGUUAAAUGGAUCAAUCAAUUUUUUCUGCCUAGGGCCCUCUUCUGCACCUAUUGCAAUCACAAAUAAAAUUUCCAAAUAGCAAAUCUUGGUAUGGGAUUGGGGCUUGGAAAAAGAGUACUAAAUAAGGUGGCUUGAAUACAAUUCAAGAGUUAGUAUUUUUAGCAAGUCAUCUAUAAUGGGAAAAGGGACAAAAGCUUCAGUGUAAGAAUAGGAACAAAAUUAAGCAGAACAAAACCAAUUUAUCUUGGCUUUGUUUGUUGCUUUGAAAGUUUUCCCCCUUCCUUUUUAGAAACACUCCAAAGAGGGGACUUUACGUUCUUUACUGUGCAUGAGUCCAAAAGUGCAUUUGGUUUUGUGGAAUAAAAAGUACUGAAUUUCUCAUGGCAUUAUUAG